UACGUAGGGGGCUAGCGUUGUCCGGAUUUAUUGGGCGUAAAGAGCGUGUAGGCGGCCAGGUAGGUCUGCUGUGAAAACUUGAGGCUCAACCUCGAGAUGUCGGCGGAAACCAUCUGGCUAGAGUCCGGAAGAGGAGAGUGGAAUUCCUGGUGUAGCGGUGGAAUGCGCAGAUAUCAGGAAGAACACCCGUGGCGAAGGCGGCUCUCUGGAA
RNAcentral lists this ribosomal RNA (211 nucleotides) under uncultured bacterium. RNAcentral's name for it is "partial 16S ribosomal RNA". It matches the Rfam family "Bacterial small subunit ribosomal RNA", at positions 524 to 734 of the family's 1533-position model. The record is from RNAcentral.